This 822-nucleotide ribosomal RNA is filed under the name Triticum aestivum (bread wheat). Its description in RNAcentral is "partial small subunit ribosomal RNA". Lineage: Eukaryota; Viridiplantae; Streptophyta; Magnoliopsida; Poales; Poaceae. The record is from RNAcentral.
AUGAAGAUUGGCAAGAACCUAUGGACCAGGGAAGAGUGGUACCUUACGUCGUGGGCUUCGGCCAAUGACCCUGCCACAGGGAAGUUUCGCUACAUUACUGACGGAGAAGGUGUGCCACAAAACAUACUCUUGGAUGGUGACAAAAUGAUCUACCGGUCGGGACCAUGGAAUGGCCUACUGUUCAGCGGUGUCACGGAGAUGGCCUCGUAUUCUGACAAGUUUGCUUACCAGUUGACAAGCAGCCCAAGUGAGGUAACCUACAGCUAUGUUUCCGCUGAAGCCUCCUUCUCGCGUCUGCUUCUGACCGAUGACGGAGUAUACCAACGCCUGGUAUGGGACCCGACCAGCCGGUCAUGGAAGAUCUUCUUCCAAGCACCGAGGGACAUCUGCGACCACUAUGGCAGGUGUGGGGUAUUCGGUCUGCGCAAUGCCAAUGCUCCAUCAACGUCGUUCUGCAGCUAUGUACAGGGGUUCAACCCAACAUCUCCAGUGCAGUGGAAGAUGAGGGACACCUCCAAUGGUUGCCGCCGAAACAUGGUACUGGACUGUGGCAAUGGAAUGUCCAGUACCACAGACGGUUUCGUGGUGAUAGACGGAGUGAAGCUUCCCGACACGCACAAUGUAUCGGUGAAUGCUAGCAUCACGUUGGAGGAGUGCAGGACGAGGUGCCUGGCCAACUGCUCUUGUAUGGCGUAUGCGCCGUUGGAUCUCAAAGGAGGAGGCGCUGGAACUGGCUGCAUCAUCUGGACAGAGGACCUCAUGGAUCUCCGGUAUGUAGAUGGAGGCAAAUCCUGUAUCUCAGAUCCACCAAGUCAGAAUUAG